CCACCCGCCUCAGUCUUCCAAUGUGCUGGGAUUACAGGGGUGAAACACUACACCCAGCCUCCUUUAGUGAUAAUUUUUAUAGCAAAAGAUGAUUUGGUUAAAUAAGUUAGAAUACUUUUUAAAAAAAUUGUUAAGAGGCAGUGUCUCGCUCUGUUGCCCAGACUGGAGUGCAGUGGGCUAAUCAUAGCUCAUUGCAGCCUCGAACUCCUGGGCUCAAGUGAUCCUCCCGCCUCAGCCUCCUGAAUAGCUUAGACUACAGAUGUGUGCCAUCACACCCAGCUACUUUUUUUUUUUUUUAAUAGAGACGGGGUCUUGCUCUGUUUCCCAGGUUCAGUUAGAAGCAGAUUUUUUUUAAGUAAAAUUAUCUUGUAAGUUUGAAUAAGCUGGGAAUUCAGAUCAUUUUAUUGUCACCUUUCUUUGCCUUGAAAAAUUAAGAUGUAUAGUCACCAGUUCAAAAUUUAAAAAGAAAAGAAAAAUUAAGAUGCCCUCUAACAUAGGAAGAUUAAGUGAAUUUGUAUCAAAUUAAAAUCCCUAUAGGAAGAAAUAUAAGAAAAAGAGGUCUAAGAAGAGCAGAAAAGAGUCCAGUGAUUCAAGCUCUAAAGAAUCCCAAGAAGAGUUUCUGGAAAAUCCCUGGAAGGAUCGAACAAAGGCUGAAGAACCAUCAGAUUUAAUUGGCCCAGAGGCUCCAAAAACACUUACCUCUCAAGAUGAUAAACCUUUGAACUAUGGCCAUGCUCUGUUACCUGGUGAAGGUGCAGCUAUGG
Molecule: small RNA, 764 nt
Filed under: Pan troglodytes (chimpanzee)
Lineage: Eukaryota; Metazoa; Chordata; Mammalia; Primates; Hominidae
Description: processed transcript
Source: RNAcentral